This 324-nucleotide ribosomal RNA is filed under the name Triticum aestivum (bread wheat). RNAcentral describes it as "partial small subunit ribosomal RNA". Lineage: Eukaryota; Viridiplantae; Streptophyta; Magnoliopsida; Poales; Poaceae. The record is from RNAcentral.
AUGUUCAAUUGUCCUUACACUAUUAAAGUUUGGAACAUGGUCUUCGACUGGUUAGGAGUACAAUCGGCGACUCCAGGCUGGAGUAAUCUCCAGACUAUCAAGCAAUGGUGGACCUUAAAUGAUGGAAUGCAAAAAAAAUCCGGGAAGGCCAACAACUCUCUGUUGAUGCUCAUAUGCUGGGAAAUUUAGAACGAAAGGAAUGAUAGGGUCUUUCGCUUCAAAGCAUCACUUUCUUCUAGAGUGGUCGCGACGAUUAAGGAUGAGACAAAGACUUGGGUUAUCGCCAGGGUUAGAUUGCUAGAAAACUUAAUUCCAAGAGAGUGA